Molecule: ribosomal RNA, 800 nt
Filed under: uncultured Sphingobacteriia bacterium
Lineage: Bacteria; Pseudomonadati; Bacteroidota; Sphingobacteriia
Description: bacterial SSU rRNA
Rfam family: Bacterial small subunit ribosomal RNA
Source: RNAcentral
CAGCAUGGUGUAGCAAUACACUGAUGGCGACCGGCAAACGGGUGCGGAACACGUACGCAACCUUCCUUUAAGUGGAGAAUAGCCCGGGGAAACCCGGAUUAAUACUCCGUAACAUUAUGAAGUGGCAUCAUUUUAUAAUUAUAGCUCCGGCGCUUAAAGAUGGGCGUGCGCCUGAUUAGGUAGUUGGCGGGGUAACGGCCCACCAAGCCUACGAUCAGUAACUGGUGUGAGAGCACGACCAGUCACACGGGCACUGAGACACGGGCCCGACUCCUACGGGAGGCAGCAGUAAGGAAUAUUGGUCAAUGGACGCAAGUCUGAACCAGCCAUGCCGCGUGGAGGAUGAAGGUCCUCUGGAUUGUAAACUUCUUUUAUUUGGGAAGAAACCCACGAUUUCUAUUGUGGUUGACGGUACCAGAUGAAUAAGCACCGGCUAACUCCGUGCCAGCAGCCGCGGUAAUACGGAGGGUGCAAGCGUUAUCCGGAUUCACUGGGUUUAAAGGGUGCGUAGGCGGGUUGGUAAGUCCGUGGUGAAAUCUCCAAGCUUAACUUGGAAACUGCCGUGGAUACUCUCAAUCUUGAAUAUCGUGGAGGUGAGCGGAAUAUGUCAUGUAGCGGUGAAAUGCUUAGAUAUGACAUAGAACACCCAUUGCGAAGGCAGCUCGCUACACGGUUAUUGACGCUGAGGCACGAAAGCGUGGGGAUCAAACAGGAUUAGAUACCCUGGUAGUCCACGCCCUAAACGAUGAUUACUCGACAUCAGCGAUACACUGUUGGUGUCUGAGCGAAAGCAUUAAGUA